Molecule: ribosomal RNA, 519 nt
Filed under: Chaetopteryx fusca
Lineage: Eukaryota; Metazoa; Arthropoda; Insecta; Trichoptera; Limnephilidae
Description: partial 16S ribosomal RNA
Source: RNAcentral
GUCUUUUUGAUAAAUAAUUUAAAGUCUAAUCUGCCCCCUGAAAUUAUUUUAAAGGGCUGCGGUAUUUAACCGUACAAAGGUAGCAUAAUAAUUAGGUUUUUAAUUGAAAUCUAGAAUGAAUGAUUGGACGAGAUAUAGGCUGUUUUAAAAUAAUUAAUUAAAAUUUAAUUUUUUAGUCAAAAAGCUAAAAUUUUAUUAAAAGACGAGAAGACCCUAUAAAUCUUUAUAAUAAAUUUAUUUUUAUAGAUUAUUUUAUUUAAAUUAGUUAUUUAAAUAUAUAAAUUAUUUUAUUGGGGUGAUAUAAAAAUUUAAUAAACUUUUUAAAAUUUAUUACUUAAAUUAAAGAUUUUUAAAUAGUGAUCUAUUAUUAAUAAUUCAAAGAAUAAGAUACUUUAGGGAUAACAGCGUAAUUUUAAUUUUAAGUUCUUAUUAAAAUUAAAGAUUGCGACCUCGAUGUUGGAUUAAAAUUUAAUUUAAAUGCAAAGGUAAAAAUUAAGUCUGUUCGACUUUUGAAAUUUU